GCAGAAAGAGAGGUCUUCUAUCCGCUUGUUCACUGCCCAUUUGGCCGCAAUAGCUGGAGUUGCGGCAAUUCAAAGGUCCUCGAUGGGCUUCCUGGAAUAUUGGUGUAUUUAUUUGCAUCAGAUGUGCUGGAAUUCAUAGAAAUCUUGGGGUUCAUAUAUCCAGGGUCAAGUCAGUCAACCUAGAUCAAUGGACACCAGAACAGAUACAGUGCAUGCAAGAUAUGGGAAAUACUAAAGCAAGACUACUUUAUGAAGCCAAUCUUCCAGAGAACUUUCGAAGACCACAGACAGAUCAGUAUCCUUUAAAACUUGCUCAUUGUGGAUUUAAAAAGAAUUAAUUCAUUUUCAUAAUUCGUAUCUAUCUUAUCUGUUAGUGUUUAGGAAGGUGUGAACUUUAUCUUGCUAUUGUUCAUUAAAGAUAGAAAUUGAUUUUCUGGGCUGGUGGUAUGGCAUAGUGGGCUGGGCCUCCGCCUGUUAUGCCAGCUCUCCAUGUAGGCACUGGUUUGUGUCCCAGCUGCUCCUCUUCUGAUCUGGCUCUCUGCUGUGGCCUGGGAAAGCAAUGGAGACUGGCCCAAAUGCUUGGGCCCUUCCACCUGCAUGGAGGACCCAGAGGAACCUCCUUGUUCUUGGCUUCAGAUCGGCCUAGCUCCAGCCAUUGCAGCCAUUUGGGGAGUGAGCCAGCAGAUGGAAGACCUUUUUCUGUGUCUCUCCCUCUCUCUCUGUAGCUCUGCCUCUAAAAUUAAAUAAAUUGAUUUUCCUUGAACAACACUUUGUAUAUAAGUAGGCUUUUAAGAAAUUUUAUUUAUUUAUUUAGGAGGCAGAGAGAGUGAGCAAGCUCCCUUCUGCUGGUUCAUUUGCCACAUGACCACAACCAGUUCUGGCCUGUGGAUGAAGCCAAGAACUCAAUCCAGUUCUCUUAUGAGGGUAAUAGGAAUCUAGCCAGUCAGUUGAGCCACCACCAAAGCCUCCCAGGGUUUGCAUCAGCAGUAAGUUGGAGUCAGGAGCUAAAGCCCAGUAUUGAACCCAAGUACUCUGAUACGGGAUGUGGCAUCCCAGCCAGCUACUAACUGCUUGGCUAAACAUUCAGCCCUGUAAUAGGAAUCUGGUAAAUACAUGACACAUAUAUUAUUUUUAUGUACCAAAUUCUAAAAUGUUAUAACUGGCCUUUUUGCUUGAUCUCUGUCUUUUUAAAAAAAAUUUUAAAGAUUUACAUAUUUAUUUGAAAGGCAGAGUUGCAUAGAGAGCGCUCUCAUCCACUGGUCCAUUCCCCAAAUGGCUGCAAUGGCCGGGGCUAGGCCAGGACAGAGCCAGGAGCUUCCUCUUGUUCUCCUACAUGGGUACAAGAUCCCAAGCAUUUGGGCCAUCUGCUGCUGCUUUCCCAGGUACAUUAUCAGGGAGCAGGAUCGGAAGUGGAGCAGCUAAGACACUGCCAGCAUGGUAGGUGGUGGCUUAACCCUCCAUGCUGCAAUGCUGGCCCUGAUCUCUGUCUCUUGAUUGGAGAAUGUCUGUUGUUUAUUGAUUUAUAUUAUUAGAGAUUUGAUUUGUCUUUUUAAGCCGUUUUUUAAACCGUAAGAAUCUUGUGAUUGCUUUAAUUUACUCCCUUUUUGCUCUGAACCCGCAAACCUGAGUUCAUAUAUAAGAUGCCUCAAGCUGAAGAAUUCUCCUCUUCUGCAAGUUUUAUGUAAUUAUAUUUAUGUGAAACAGUUUAGUAUUUAGGCAUUUAAAAGGCAGAUUAUAUAUUUAGUGCAAUUACUAAAUAAUUCAUGUUAAUGUUUUCUGUUAAUGUUCUAUCUCUAGGUUGUACAACUGUUUGCUUUAUUAUAUAUUUGCCUUUAUAAAUGGAUAGACCAUUUUCCCACAGGCAUUAUGCUCAGGAUGUGUCUCACAUUUGUCAAUGAUAAAAUCAUUUGAUUCUAUGGGAUUUCUGAAGGUUUAUAUUGGAGUUUGAGAAAGUAGGUCAUAAAAACUGCACUGCUUUGUCAAUAAGUUUAUCUUCUAAAAAGAUAACAUUAAUGAUUUUGACAAUGAAAUGUAGCUUCCUAAAGAUGAAUUGCAUGUUACUCAUUUGUAUAGUUUAACAGUGUCUGAUUAUUUUUAUAUUUGGACAGAAACCUUUUUUUGUUAUUAUUUUAUAAUUGAAAAGUUAGUAAUUUUAAACUCACCUUUUUCUGUUUCCACCUUCCUCAUCAUUUUCCCCCAAAUUAAGUAACCUGAUAUCCAAGGCAAUUUUUGUUGUAGGAAGAUCCUAGAGUAAGAAUGGGAGGUACAUUUUAGAUGUGGGAAAAAAAAAUGAGCAAAAGUAUGGAGGUAGGAGGAAAUAUGACCUAUUAAGUGUUUUUUUUUUUUUUUUUUUUUUGAUAGGCAGAGUGGACAGUGAGAGAGAGAGACAGAGAGAAAGGUCUUCUUUUUCCCGUUGGUUCACCCUCCAAUGGCUGCCAUGGCUGGCACGCUGCGGCCGGCACACCACGCUGAUCCGAAGGCAGGAGCCAGGUGCUUCUCCUGGUCUCCCAUGGGGUGCAGGGCCUAAGCACUUGAGCCAUCCUUCACUGCCUUCCCGGGCCACAGCAGAGAGCUGGACUAGAAGAGGGGCAACCGGGAAAGAAUCCGGCGCCCUGACCGGGACUAGAACCCGGUGUGCCGGCGCUGCUAGGUGGAGGAUUAGCCUAUUGAGCCACAGCGCCGGCCACCUAUUAAGGUUUUGAUGUGAUAAAAUUAUGGAGGAGGUAUCAUAAGAAAACUAAAAGAUGUUUUGAUCCGGAUUAUAAAGAGUUUUCAAUAUUAUAGGGAACAAUUUGGACUUCAUUUUAUUGGCCCAAGGGGUUGAAGUGUUUGGAAACACAUGAAGGACUUUGAAACAGGAGAAAAAGUAGAAUAUUAGCUUUUCAGCACAGGGAAGAUAUUAAUUGGAGGUAAAAGGAGAUCCUAGAGGUAAAGAGACCAUGCAGAAUGCUAUUUUUAGCUCCAGCGUGAGCAGUAAUGAAGAUCUAAAUUAUUAUAGUGGUGUUGAGAACACAGAGAAAGAAAUUGGUAAAACAGGAGCAGUUGGGCUAUUUUGAGAUUGACUUUGAUUCUGAGCAAGAUACUGAGAUGAACUCAGAGCUUCUAGCUUAUAUGACUGUAAAGCUUAUUUAUUUACUGAGACACUACCAGAUGGAAUUUAAGAUUUAGAAAUGAAAGAUAAUGAACCAUGCUGCAUCACCCUAGGCCGACUGGGUGUUUGCUGGACGUAAAAAUGGAGUUACCUAUUUAGUAGCUAAAAAUAUGAGUCUGGACCCUAAAGAAAGCAGGGAAUGCCGAUUGGGGAGUCACUUAGUCUUUAGGUAGUGUAAAAUUCAGGAGUGAAAUUAUGUUCACUUACAGUAGUGAUCUUUUGUUCUUUCUUAGGUGUUUUUUUUUUUUUUUUUUAAGAAUCUUAGCGAUACUCUUUUCUUUUCCUCUAAAAAAUGAAGAAUAGAGCAUGGUAGAAGGAGAUAGAAUCAGGCCAACAAAUCAAUGUCUUAGGAUGGGGAUGGAGAACAUCUGACCCAUGGGUUGUACAGGGUGUGUAAAAUCAUUUGGUCUGGCCCUGCCAAGGCGACUGCCAGUGGUACUCAAAAUUGAAUAAAUUUAUAGCAGGCUAAUUUUUUAAAAGGAUUAUUUAUUUAUUUGAAUGAUUGAGUUAUAGAGAGUGAGGAAAGAAGAGACACAGUGAGAGGUCUUCCAUGUGCUGGUUCACUGCCCAGGUGUCAGCAACGGCCAGGGCUGGGCCAGGCUGAGCCUAAGCCAGGAGUUUCAUCUGGGUCUCUCAUGUGGGUGGCAGGGGCCCAACUACUUGGGCCAUCUUGUGUUGCUUUCCCAGGCACAUUAGCAGGGAGCUGGAUCAGAAGGGGAGCAGUAGAGACUAAAAUGGGAUACUAGCAUUGCAUGCAGCACUUUAACUCACUAUACCACAAUACUGGGCCCAGUGGGCUAAUCUUUAAGUUGAUAAUUUUGUAUGAACCAUGAAUAAUGUUACAAAUAUCCAAAUGACCCUUGGCAGAAAAAGAGAUUCCCCACCCCAGUCCUAAGUGGUUGUUACCAAUUGCUUGCUUGUUUUAAUUUAUUCUCCAUCUUUUUGCUUACCAACCACAAACCUGAGUAGAUAGAUAAAAAGCUUCAAAUUGCAGAAUGCUUUUAUGAAAGUUUUUGUGUAUGUGGAGGGGUUGGAUUGUUUUUUGUUUUGGUUUUGGCUUCUCUUGGAUAUUGCAGGCUCAUUUAUUUGAGGUUCUAAAACGUUUUGGUUUUACUGUCUAUAUAGUACCUUACAUAAAAAAAGCUGCUUUCAAGUUAUUUGUCACUAUGAUUCCAGGUUGUUUUCACAUAAGUCUGAAAGAUAUUCAGAGAAGGAAGGACAGUAUAUAGCUUCUUUUGUAUAUCUGUGUAUUGAAUUCUUCUCUGGACUAUUCUGUAUAAGUUGGUAGGCAUACCAUUUCUUAAGUAAUUAUCAUCAAUUUUAUGAUAAGCCUUAUAAAAGUGAGGUUGAUACAUUUAAAAAUAUUUGGUUCAUAUCUAAACUUUUCAGGAAA
This is a non-coding RNA of Oryctolagus cuniculus (rabbit), 4544 nucleotides long. The record is from RefSeq and is a predicted model, not a curated record. NCBI's taxonomy places the organism in Eukaryota, Metazoa, Chordata, Mammalia, Lagomorpha, Leporidae.